Molecule: transfer RNA, 77 nt
Filed under: Sphaerodactylus townsendi
Lineage: Eukaryota; Metazoa; Chordata; Lepidosauria; Squamata; Sphaerodactylidae
Description: tRNA-Ala
Source: RNAcentral
GGGUAGGGCCAUGACUUAAUGGCAGAGCAUCUGCUUUGCAUGCAGAAGGCCUCAGAUUCAAUCCCUGGCACCUCCCG